Molecule: ribosomal RNA, 229 nt
Filed under: uncultured bacterium
Lineage: Bacteria
Description: partial 16S ribosomal RNA
Rfam family: Bacterial small subunit ribosomal RNA
Source: RNAcentral
UCCGUAGGCGGGUUUAUAAGUCAGUGGUGAAAGUUUGCGGCUCAACCGUAAAAUUGCCAUUGAUACUGUAGACCUUGAAUUAGUGUGAAGUGGUUAGAAUAUGUAGUGUAGCGGUGAAAUGCAUAGAUAUUACACAGAAUACCAAUUGCGAAGGCAGAUCACUAACACUAUAUUGACGCUGAGGGACGAAAGCGUGGGGAGCGAACAGGAUUAGAUACCCUGGUAGUCC